This 339-nucleotide ribosomal RNA is filed under the name uncultured Pneumocystis. Its description in RNAcentral is "SSU rRNA". It matches the Rfam family "Bacterial small subunit ribosomal RNA", at positions 962 to 1325 of the family's 1533-position model. The record is from RNAcentral. Lineage: Eukaryota; Fungi; Ascomycota; Pneumocystomycetes; Pneumocystales; Pneumocystaceae.
CGACAAAUCUUACCACUUCUUGCAUAAUCUUCCAAUUCUUCUCUUCGGGAAUCUUUGGAAGAUUACAGGUGUUGCAUGGCUGUCUUUAGUUCGUGUUGUGAAAUGUUAGGUUAAUUCCGAAAACGAACGAAACCCUUUUCUUUAAUUACUAUACUUUAAAGAUCUCUCUUUCGAUAGGAAAGAUGAAAGAGGAUGAAGACAAGUCCUCAUGACCCUUAUGAAGUGGGCUACAGACGUGCUACAAAAGUUUCUACAAAGGGAAGCAACAAUGAAAAUUAGAGCUAAUCCUCAAAGGAAAUUUCAGUACGGAUAAGAAUCUGAAACUCGAUUCUUUGAAGA